CACCUCUCAGGGUCAUACCUGGAAAGUUUCCAGUACUCUACCAGUCUCGACUAUGGGAGGGAGAGUCAAGCAGAGUUAUACCCAUUCCAUUCCUAGCUUGGGGCAGUGGCUAGUGAAUGGAAGGCAAUCUGCUACAAGU
RNAcentral lists this small nucleolar RNA (139 nucleotides) under Ornithorhynchus anatinus (platypus). The record is from RNAcentral. Lineage: Eukaryota; Metazoa; Chordata; Mammalia; Monotremata; Ornithorhynchidae.